CAUGUCCUUUUGAAUUUUAUUUAAGGUCUAUCCUGCCCAGUGAUUAUUUUAAAUGGCCGCGGUAUUUUGACCGUGCGAAGGUAGCAUAAUAAUUAGUUUUUUAAUUGAAGACUGGUAUGAAUGGGUGAACGAGAAAACUACUGUCUCUUUUUUGUUUAUAGUAGAAGUUAAUUUUUAAGUAAAAAAGCUUAAAUGAUUUUAAAAGACGAGAAGACCCUAUAGAGUUUAAUAUUAAUAUUUUAUUUUUAAUUUUAGAAUUUAUUUUUGGGUAAAAUUUUUAAUAUUUGGUUGGGGUGACAAAAAGAUUUAAAAAACUCUUUUUAUUUAUUUACAUAUUAAAUGAUUUUUUGAUCCAAUGUUUUUGAUUUAAAGAUUAAAUUACCUUAGGGAUAACAGCGUUAUUUUUUUAGAGAGUUCUAAUCGAUAAAAGAAAUUGCGACCUCGAUGUUGGAUUAAAGUUUAUAUUGGGAGCAAAAGCUUGAUUAUUAGGUCUGUUCGACCUUUAAAACUUUACAUGAUCUGAGU
This 525-nucleotide ribosomal RNA is filed under the name Dryopidae sp. UPOL RK0742. RNAcentral's name for it is "partial 16S ribosomal RNA". It matches the Rfam family "Archaeal large subunit ribosomal RNA", at positions 1908 to 2679 of the family's 2987-position model. Lineage: Eukaryota; Metazoa; Arthropoda; Insecta; Coleoptera; Dryopidae. The record is from RNAcentral.